AUGGCUCAGAACGAACGCUGGCGGCGCGUUUAAGCAUGCAAGUCGAGCGGCAAGGGCCUUCGGGCCCCUAGAGCGGCGGACGGGUGAGUAACACGUGGACAAUCUGCCCCCCGGCCCGGGAUAGCCCAGGGAAACCUGGAUUAAUACCGGAUGAGACGGGACCCGCGAUGGCGGGAUCCGGGAAAGGCGCUGCGGCGCCGCCGAGGGAUGAGUCUGCGUCCCAUUAGCUAGACGGCGGGGUAACGGCCCACCGUGGCGACGAUGGGUAGCCGGCCUGAGAGGGUGGACGGCCACAUUGGAACUGAGACACGGUCCAGACUCCUACGGGAGGCAGCAGCUAAGAAUCUUCCGCAAUGGGCGAAAGCCUGACGGAAGCGACGCCGCGUGAACGAAGAAGGCCGUGAGGUUGUAAAGUUCUUUUCGGGAGGGGGAACAACCGUGGCAGGGAAUGGCCGCGGGAUGACGUGAAUCCCGGAAUAAGCCCCGGCUAACUACGUGCCAGCCGCCGC
RNAcentral lists this ribosomal RNA (509 nucleotides) under uncultured bacterium. Its description in RNAcentral is "bacterial SSU rRNA". It matches the Rfam family "Bacterial small subunit ribosomal RNA", at positions 19 to 518 of the family's 1533-position model. The record is from RNAcentral.